Dioscorea cayenensis subsp. rotundata (Guinea yam) is the source of this 107-nucleotide small nucleolar RNA. The record is from RefSeq and is a predicted model, not a curated record. NCBI's taxonomy places the organism in Eukaryota, Viridiplantae, Streptophyta, Magnoliopsida, Dioscoreales, Dioscoreaceae.
AAUCCAUGUUGUGGACACUUCCGCAAGAGAUCUUUGAAUCGCUCCCACUUUUCAAACAAAGAUUCAAGCUCCAUCUGAACAAAUGAAGAUAUCUCAUUACAAAGCUU